RNAcentral lists this RNase P RNA (440 nucleotides) under Consotaella salsifontis. Its description in RNAcentral is "Bacterial RNase P class A". It matches the Rfam family "Bacterial RNase P class A". From Rfam's summary of the family: Ribonuclease P (RNase P) is a ubiquitous endoribonuclease, found in archaea, bacteria and eukarya as well as chloroplasts and mitochondria. Its best characterised activity is the generation of mature 5'-ends of tRNAs by cleaving the 5'-leader elements of precursor-tRNAs. The record is from RNAcentral. Lineage: Bacteria; Pseudomonadati; Pseudomonadota; Alphaproteobacteria; Hyphomicrobiales; Aurantimonadaceae.
CCAGCCGGCCGGGCGACCGCUUCCGUUCAAUGUCGAAAGACGGCGGGAGAGGAAAGUCCGGGCUCCAUGGAGAAACGGUGCCGGGUAACGCCCGGCGGGGGCGACCCCAGGGAAAGUGCCACAGAAAUGAAACCGCCCCGCCUGUAGUGCGGCUGAAUCGCCGGGAUUGUCCGGUGCUGGAGCCGCAGUGCUGGCGGGGUAAGGGUGAAACGGUGGGGUAAGAGCCCACCGCGCGACUGGCAACAGGAGCGGCACGGCAAACCCCACCGGGAGCAAGACCGAAUAGGAAUGACGUGGCGGCCGCGAGGUCGUCAGCCUUCUCCAGGCCAGUCGUUCGGGUGGGUUGCUUGAGGCGCCGCGCAAGCGGCGUCCCAGAGGAAUGGUCGCCGGUCAGCCGCAAGGCUGUCCCACAGAACCCGGCUUAUAGGCCGGCUGGCAUC